RNAcentral lists this small RNA (113 nucleotides) under Sphingopyxis italica. RNAcentral's name for it is "microRNA MIR1846". The record is from RNAcentral. Lineage: Bacteria; Pseudomonadati; Pseudomonadota; Alphaproteobacteria; Sphingomonadales; Sphingopyxidaceae.
UUAAAGAGGUGCGUGUGUCCCCGCGAAGGCGGGGACCCAUCUCCCGCCGGUUCGAAAUCGCGCCGACCGGAGAUGGACCCCCGCCUUCGCGGGGGCACACUCGUCGGGUUUGA